RNAcentral lists this transfer RNA (61 nucleotides) under Holothuria leucospilota. RNAcentral describes it as "tRNA-Cys". The record is from RNAcentral. Lineage: Eukaryota; Metazoa; Echinodermata; Holothuroidea; Aspidochirotida; Holothuriidae.
GGUCCUAUGGUGUUUAACAUAUCUAAUUGCAAGUUAGAAGUUGUCCAAGGGACUGGGACCU